UACGAGGGGGGCGAGCGUUGUUCGGAAUUAUUGGGCGUAAAGGGUGCGUAGGCGGUUUGGUAAGUCUGAUGUGAAAUCUAUGGGCUCAACUCAUAGUCUGCAUCGGAAACUGCCGGGCUUGAGUGUGGGAGAGGUGAGUGGAAUUCCUGGUGUAGCGGUGAAAUGCGUAGAUAUCAGGAGGAACACCUGUGGCGAAAGCGGCGCCACUGGACCACUUCUGACGCUGAGGCGCGAAAGCUAGGGGAGCAAACAGG
This 254-nucleotide ribosomal RNA is filed under the name uncultured bacterium. RNAcentral describes it as "partial 16S ribosomal RNA". It matches the Rfam family "Bacterial small subunit ribosomal RNA", at positions 524 to 776 of the family's 1533-position model. The record is from RNAcentral.